GCGCCGCGCGCUACACUGAUGCAUUCAACAAGCCUAUCCUUGACCGAAAGGUCCGGGUAAUCUUUGAAACUGCAUCGUGAUGGGGAUAGAUUAUUGCAAUUAUUAGUCUUCAACGAGGAAUGCCUAGUAAGCGCAAGUCAUCAGCUUGCGUUGAUUACGUCCCUGCCCUUUGUACACACCGCCCGUCGCUCCUACCGAUUGGGUGUGCUGGUGAAGUGUUCGGAUUGGCAGCUUAGGGUGGCAACACCUCAGGUCUGCCGAGAAGUUCAUUAAACCCUCCCACCUAGAGGAAGGAGARGUCGUAACAAGGUCUCCGUAGGUGAACCUGCGGAGGGAUCAUUGAAUUAUUAAAACCACAACGUCAACCCGUUACCAUGCGCUUGACGUGCUAGUGGGGGCAUUCGGCUGAAUGCGUCUCACAGCUGGUUGGGAAUUGCUACCCACACCAGUGGCCGUCUCGGCAUGAGUGUUCCAUGCGUUUGGGUUGCCAGUGGCGGCCCCCGCAUGACUGUUCCGUGCGCUUGGCGUGUCGGUGGGGCAUUCGGGUUAUAAGCCCGUCUGCAUCUCACAGCUGGUUGGGAAAUGCUACCCAACCAGUGGCCGCCUUGGCAUGACCAUACACCAAGGGCCAACCGCUGAUUAAACCAAACUCUGAAGCUGUGACUGCUAUUUGAUUGGCAGUCUUAACCAAAGACAACUCUCAACAACGGAUAUCUUGGCUCUCGCAACGAUGAAGAACGCAGCGAAAUGCGAUACGUAGUGUGAAUUGCAGAAUUCCGUGAACCAUCGAAUCUUUGAACGCAUAUUGCGCUCGAGCCUUCGGGCGAGAGCAUGUCUGCCUCAGCGUCGGUUUACACCAUCACCCCCCAAAUUUCUUUUUGGGUGUGUCGGCAUUUAUUGCUGGCUGUAGGGGUGGAUCUGACUUCCCCAACCUGCAAUGCGUUUGGUUGGGCUAGUUGAAGUGCAGAGGCUUAAGCAAGGACCCAUUAAGGGCUUCAACUGGAUAGGUAGCACCGGCUUGUGCCGACUACACGAAGUUGUUGCUUGUGGAUCUUGCUGGUGCCAAGCAGGAACGUGCCAAAUGGCAUGUCUAAACUUUCGACCUGAGCUCAGGCAAGGCUACCCGCUGAACUUAAGCAUAUUCAAUAAGCGGAGGAAAAGAAACUAACAAGGAUGCGCUUAGUAACGGCGAGCGAACCGCGCACAGCCCAACUUGAAAAUCUCCCUCGGAGAAUUGUAGUCUAUAGAAGUACCCUCUGGCGACGGGCUGAGCUAAAGUCUCCUGGAAAGGGGCGUCAGAGAGGGUGAGAACCCCGUAAGCUCACGCUUGGUUGCCUCACGAGGUGCUUUCAAAGAGUCGGGUUGCUUGGGAAUGCAGCCCAAAUUUGGUGGUAAUCCCA
This 1400-nucleotide ribosomal RNA is filed under the name Coelastrella saipanensis. RNAcentral's name for it is "bacterial SSU rRNA". Lineage: Eukaryota; Viridiplantae; Chlorophyta; Chlorophyceae; Sphaeropleales; Scenedesmaceae. The record is from RNAcentral.